GUGGGGAAUAUUGGACAAUGGGCGAAAGCCUGAUCCAGCAAUGCCGCGUGAGUGAUGAAGGCCUUCGGGUUGUAAAGCUCUUUUACCAGGGAUGAUAAUGACAGUACCUGGAGAAUAAGCUCCGGCUAACUCCGUGCCAGCAGCCGCGGUAAUACGGAGGGAGCUAGCGUUGUUCGGAAUUACUGGGCGUAAAGCGCACGUAGGCGGUUACUCAAGUCAGAGGUGCAAGCCCGGGGCUCAACCCCGGAACGGGCUUUGAAACUAGGUAACUAGAAUCUUGGAGAGGUCAGUGGAAUUCCGAGUGUAGAGGUGAAAUUCGUAGAUAUUCGGAAGAACACCAGUGGCGAAGGCGACUGACUGGACAAGUAUUGACGCUGAGGUGCGAAAGCGUGGGGAGCAAACAGGAUUAGAAACCCCAGUAGUCC
This 425-nucleotide ribosomal RNA is filed under the name uncultured bacterium. RNAcentral describes it as "bacterial SSU rRNA". It matches the Rfam family "Bacterial small subunit ribosomal RNA", at positions 354 to 796 of the family's 1533-position model. The record is from RNAcentral.